This is a long non-coding RNA of Poeciliopsis prolifica (blackstripe livebearer), 502 nucleotides long. RefSeq lists it as uncharacterized. The transcript has 4 exons. NCBI's taxonomy places the organism in Eukaryota, Metazoa, Chordata, Actinopteri, Cyprinodontiformes, Poeciliidae. The record is from RefSeq and is a predicted model, not a curated record.
CUCCGAUUCAGACGUCCGAUUCCUCAUCGGGAAGAACUCUGUCGAAGAAACGCGAAUGUAGUGCUCCCUGCUCCUCCUCCGUGGCGUCCCCCUGACUCCCCCCAGUCCGUGACUCCGGGUGUGUCUCCGCCCCUUCCUGUCCCAGUCCUGUGUCGUCCCCGCUGCUGGACUUCCUGUGACGGCGGGACGGAGGACGCCGCCUGAUGGAGCCCCGUGGUCUGCCCUGGAGAGGGACCAAUCACAGGAGAGGUCAGCAGUGACGUCAUUAGUGAUGUAACAGAGGUAACUCUCACCUGGUUCCCCACGGUGCCGCUUGGGUCAGGAGCCUGACCUUUGAACUUUCCUGCCAGUUCGGCCACAGAGCGGCGGGGCGGAGCCUCGUUCUGCAGAAAAGAAUCCAUGUUCCCGCCUCUGGCUCCAGAACCUGCUGGCUUAACUCCCAGUCCAGAUACUGGUCUCUACUGGUUUCUGCAGUGGUCAGUGUGGCUCAGUGCUGCCACCU